Molecule: ribosomal RNA, 945 nt
Filed under: Curtobacterium flaccumfaciens
Lineage: Bacteria; Bacillati; Actinomycetota; Actinomycetes; Micrococcales; Microbacteriaceae
Description: bacterial SSU rRNA
Rfam family: Bacterial small subunit ribosomal RNA
Source: RNAcentral
UGCAGUCGAACGAUGAUGCCCAGCUUGCUGGGUGGAUUAGUGGCGAACGGGUGAGUAACACGUGAGUAACCUGCCCCUGACUCUGGGAUAAGCGUUGGAAACGACGUCUAAUACUGGAUAUGAUCACUGGCCGCAUGGUCUGGUGGUGGAAAGAUUUUUUGGUUGGGGAUGGACUCGCGGCCUAUCAGCUUGUUGGUGAGGUAAUGGCUCACCAAGGCGACGACGGGUAGCCGGCCUGAGAGGGUGACCGGCCACACUGGGACUGAGACACGGCCCAGACUCCUACGGGAGGCAGCAGUGGGGAAUAUUGCACAAUGGGCGAAAGCCUGAUGCAGCAACGCCGCGUGAGGGAUGACGGCCUUCGGGUUGUAAACCUCUUUUAGUAGGGAAGAAGCGAAAGUGACGGUACCUGCAGAAAAAGCACCGGCUAACUACGUGCCAGCAGCCGCGGUAAUACGUAGGGUGCAAGCGUUGUCCGGAAUUAUUGGGCGUAAAGAGCUCGUAGGCGGUUUGUCGCGUCUGCUGUGAAAUCCCGAGGCUCAACCUCGGGCUUGCAGUGGGUACGGGCAGACUAGAGUGCGGUAGGGGAGAUUGGAAUUCCUGGUGUAGCGGUGGAAUGCGCAGAUAUCAGGAGGAACACCGAUGGCGAAGGCAGAUCUCUGGGCCGUAACUGACGCUGAGGAGCGAAAGCAUGGGGAGCGAACAGGAUUAGAUACCCUGGUAGUCCAUGGCCGUAAACGUUGGGCGCUAGAUGUAGGGACCUUUCCACGGUUUCUGUGUCUAACUAACGCAUUAAGCGCCCCGCCUGGGGAGUACGGCCGCAAGGUUAAACUCAAAGGAAUUGACGGGGGCCCGCCAAGCGGCGGAACAUGCGGAUUAAUUCGAUGCACGCGAAAACCUUACCAGGUUUGACUAACCCGAAACGGCCAGAAUGGUCCCCCCUUG